Molecule: long non-coding RNA, 762 nt
Organism: Brassica oleracea var. oleracea
Lineage: Eukaryota; Viridiplantae; Streptophyta; Magnoliopsida; Brassicales; Brassicaceae
Exons: 4
Source: RefSeq, a predicted model, not a curated record
AAUAUCUUUUUCUUGGCUUCCAUUGAUGCUAAGAACAUUAGUAUAUGUAUUUAAAUGUUACUGGUCACUGUAAGUUUGGGAGCUGAGCUAGCUGUAGUUUAAAAUCUACACUUGUGUAUGCACGUGCUUGAAUGAUGACAUGUGUGUGCUUAUCUCCAGCUUUAAUUACCAAUGCCUACACUUUGGUCUCUGUACAAAACGCAGAUGCUUUAGACAAGAAACCAUGAGUUUGCCGUAACUGCCAGGGCAUUGGUACUGUUCUUUGUGAUAUGUGCGGGGAUACAAGAAAAUGGAAAGCUCCCAACCGAAAACGAGCCAAAGAUAGGUUUGAGUUUACAGAAUGUCCGAACUGUUAAGGUGGAGGGUUUUCCCAGUCUGUUUAGGUACAUGUUUACCAAACAACAAAGGACUCCUUAGAAGGUGGUGCUCGUACAAUGUACAAUGGUUGUCUUCUUCCCAAUUCUUGAGCAGCACAAUGGCAAUAGUUAUGAUUAUAGAAGAGGAAGAAAAGUAAUACAUUGUCGACGCAUGUGAAGCUAUAGGAGAAUGGGAUGCUAGAACAUGUUUUUGUAAUGCUGCUAGAAAUGUGUUGUUAAUUCUUUACAAACCUAAGAGUUUUCUUCUUCCUUAGACAGUCUUGACGACUCAAUUUCACAUUCCCUACAUCGAUGACAACGAUACAAACUUCAGUCCUCAGACAUGAACCAGUCCCUGAGAAGAACCUCUUCCCUAUGCAUUUGAAAGAAAAAAAUGUAACACCUC